RNAcentral lists this ribosomal RNA (503 nucleotides) under Escherichia coli. Its description in RNAcentral is "partial 23S ribosomal RNA". It matches the Rfam family "Bacterial large subunit ribosomal RNA", at positions 1297 to 1785 of the family's 2925-position model. The record is from RNAcentral. Lineage: Bacteria; Pseudomonadati; Pseudomonadota; Gammaproteobacteria; Enterobacterales; Enterobacteriaceae.
CUGACAUAAGUAACGAUAAAGCGGGUGAAAAGCCCGCUCGCCGGAAGACCAAGGGUUCCUGUCCAACGUUAAUCGGGGCAGGGUGAGUCGACCCCUAAGGCGAGGCCGAAAGGCGUAGUCGAUGGGAAACAGGUUAAUAUUCCUGUACUUGGUGUUACUGCGAAGGGGGGACGGAGAAGGCUAUGUUGGCCGGGCGACGGUUGUCCCGGUUUAAGCGUGUAGGCUGGUUUUCCAGGCAAAUCCGGAAAAUCAAGGCUGAGGCGUGAUGACGAGGCACUACGGUGCUGAAGCAACAAAUGCCCUGCUUCCAGGAAAAGCCUCUAAGCAUCAGGUAACAUCAAAUCGUACCCCAAACCGACACAGGUGGUCAGGUAGAGAAUACCAAGGCGCUUGAGAGAACUCGGGUGAAGGAACUAGGCAAAAUGGUGCCGUAACUUCGGGAGAAGGCACGCUGAUAUGUAGGUGAAGUCCCUCGCGGAUGGAGCUGAAAUCAGUCGAAGAUA